AGAGUUUGAUCAUGGCUCAGAACGAACGCUGGCGGCAUGCCUAAUACAUGCAAGUCGAACGGAAUGGAGCAACCCAUUUAGUGGCGGACGGGUGAGUAACGCGUGGGAACCUGCCCAUCGGUACGGAAUAACCUCGGGAAACUGAGGCUAAUACCGUAUGCGCCCCCAGGGCAACUUGGGGGGAAAGAUUUAUCGCCGUUGGAGGGGCCCGCGUCGGAUUAGGUAGUUGGUGAGGUAACGGCUCACCAAGCCUUCGAUCCGUAGCUGGUCUGAGAGGAUGAUCAGCCACACUGGGACUGAGACACGGCCCAGACUCCUACGGGAGGCAGCAGUAGGGAAUAUUGGACAAUGGGGGCAACCCUGAUCCAGCAAUGCCGCGUGAGUGAUGAAGGCCUUAGGGUUGUAAAGCUCUUUUGGCAGGGACGAUGAUGACGGUACCUGCAGUAAUAGCC
Molecule: ribosomal RNA, 452 nt
Filed under: uncultured Allostella sp.
Lineage: Bacteria; Pseudomonadati; Pseudomonadota; Alphaproteobacteria; Rhodospirillales; Allostellaceae
Description: bacterial SSU rRNA
Rfam family: Bacterial small subunit ribosomal RNA
Source: RNAcentral